CGUAAAGCGCAUGCAGGUGGUUUGUUUAAGUCAGAUGUGAAAGCCCCGGGGCUCAACCUCGGAAUAGCAUUUGAAACUGGCAGACUAGAGUACUGUAGAGGGGGGUAGGAAUUUCAGGUGUAGCGGUGAAAUGCGUAGAGAUCUGAAGGAAUACCGGUGGCGAAGGCGGCCCCCUCGGACAGAUACUGACACUCAGAUGCGAAAGCGUGGGGAGCAAACAGGAUUAGAUACCCCUGGUAG
This 240-nucleotide ribosomal RNA is filed under the name uncultured bacterium. RNAcentral describes it as "partial 16S ribosomal RNA". It matches the Rfam family "Bacterial small subunit ribosomal RNA", at positions 559 to 793 of the family's 1533-position model. The record is from RNAcentral.